AGUGUGUAGUGUCUGGGGUUGGUAGUGGGGUUAGUGUAGUGUUUAGUGUGUAGUGUCUGGGGUGGUAGUGGGGUUAGUGAGUGUGUGGUGUCUGGGGUUGGUGGUGGGGAUAGUGUAGUGUGUAGUGUCUGGGUUGGUAGUGGGGUUGGUGUAGUGUGUAGUGGCUGGGGUUGGUAGUGGGGUUAGUGUAGUGUGUAGUAUCUGGGGAUGCUAGUGGGGAUAGUGUAGUGUGUAGUGUCUGGGGUUGUGGGGUUAGUGUAGUGUGUAGUGUCUGGGGUUGGUCGUGGGGAUAGUAUAGUGUGUAGUGUGUAGUGUCUGGGGUUGGUCGUGGGGAUGGUAUAGUGUGGAGUGUGUAGUGUCUGGGGUUGGUAGUGGGGUUAGUGUAGUGUGUAGUGUCUGGGGAUGGAAUUGGGGUUAGUGUGGUGUGUAGGGUCUGGGGUUGGUGGUGGGGAUAGUGUAGUGCGUAGUGUCUGGGGUUGGUAGUGGGGAUCGUGUAGUGUGUAGUAUCUGGAGUUGGUGGUGGGGUUAGUGUAGUGUGCAGUGUCUGGGGUUGGUAGUGGGGUUAGUGUAGUGUGUAGUGUGUCGUGUCUGGGGCUGGUAGUGGUGUUGUUGUAGUGUGUAGUGUCUGGGGUUAGUAGUGGUAGUGGUGUUGUUGUAGUGUGUAGUGUCUGGGGUUGGUAGUGGUAGUGGUGUUGUUGUAGUGUGUACUAGAGGUCGACCGAUUAUGAUCUUUCAACGCCGAUAUCGAUUCUGAUUAUAUGAGGACCAAAACAAUCCGAUACCAAUU
Long non-coding RNA from Oncorhynchus tshawytscha (Chinook salmon), 787 nucleotides. Lineage: Eukaryota; Metazoa; Chordata; Actinopteri; Salmoniformes; Salmonidae. The record is from Ensembl.